AUUGAACGCUGGCGGCAGGCCUAACACAUGCAAGUCGAGCGAGCGGCGGACGGGGGAGUAAUGUAUGGGGACUGCCCGAUAGAGGGGGAUAACUACUGGAAACGGUAGCUAAUACCGCAUACUAUCGGAUAACCCAUAUGGGAUUAGCUAGUAGGUGGGGUAAUGGCUCACCUAGGCGACGAUCCCUAGCUGGUCUGAGAGGAGGAGCAGCCACACUGGGACUGAGACACUGCCCAGACUCCUACGGAGGCAGCAGUGGGGAAUAUUGCACAAUGGGCGCAAGCCUGAUGCAGCCAUGCCGCGUGUGUGAAGAAGGCCUUAGGGUUGUAAAGUACUUUCAGUCGGGAGGCGUUACCGACAGAAGAAGCACCGGCUAACUCCGUGCCAGCAGCCGCGGUAAUAC
RNAcentral lists this ribosomal RNA (403 nucleotides) under uncultured bacterium. Its description in RNAcentral is "partial 16S ribosomal RNA". It matches the Rfam family "Bacterial small subunit ribosomal RNA", at positions 30 to 526 of the family's 1533-position model. The record is from RNAcentral.